This is a non-coding RNA of Rhodopseudomonas palustris BisB5, 46 nucleotides long. The record is from Rfam. Lineage: Bacteria; Pseudomonadati; Pseudomonadota; Alphaproteobacteria; Hyphomicrobiales; Nitrobacteraceae.
GCUCGAGGACGACCUCCCAAUCACCCUUUCGGCCGGGACGACCCGG